Molecule: ribosomal RNA, 446 nt
Filed under: uncultured bacterium
Lineage: Bacteria
Description: bacterial SSU rRNA
Rfam family: Bacterial small subunit ribosomal RNA
Source: RNAcentral
GCCAGACUCCUACGGGAGGCAGCAGUGGGGAAUAUUGCACAAUGGGGGAAACCCUGAUGCAGCAACGCCGCGUGAGUGAAGAAGUAUUUCGGUAUGUAAAGCUCUAUCAGCAGGGAAGAAGAAGGACGGUACCUGACUAAGAAGCCCCGGCUAACUACGUGCCGGCAGCCGCGGUAAUACGUAGGGGGCGAGCGUUAUCCGGAUUUACUGGGUGUAAAGGGAGCGUAGACGGUUAAUCAAGUCUGAAGUGAAAGCCCGCGGCUCAACUGCGGAACGGCUUUGGAAACUGAGUAACUGGAGUGCUGGAGGGGCAGGCGGAAUUCCUGGUGUAGCGGUGAAAUGCGUAGAUAUCAGGAGGAACACCGGUGGCGAAGGCGGCCUGCUGGACAGUAACUGACGUUGAGGCUCGAAAGCGUGGGGAGCAAACAGGAUUAGAUACCCCAGUA